CAAACAAAUUUAAAUUACGUUUUGGAUUUUUUUGUCAAAAGUUUAGGUGUCCAAUCCUCAUCUGAAUCGCUAGAUUCGCAUACUUGGGUUUGAUGUCUUCUGCUCCAAUUUGUCAUAAAUUCUGUCUUUGGUACAUUUGAUCCUGCUCCAAUGCUGCCUCUCCCGCUG
Amblyraja radiata (thorny skate) is the source of this 168-nucleotide long non-coding RNA. RefSeq lists it as uncharacterized. The transcript is spliced from 3 exons. The record is from RefSeq and is a predicted model, not a curated record. Lineage: Eukaryota; Metazoa; Chordata; Chondrichthyes; Rajiformes; Rajidae.